RNAcentral lists this ribosomal RNA (583 nucleotides) under Salmonella enterica subsp. enterica serovar Muenchen. RNAcentral describes it as "partial 23S ribosomal RNA". It matches the Rfam family "Bacterial large subunit ribosomal RNA", at positions 606 to 1190 of the family's 2925-position model. Lineage: Bacteria; Pseudomonadati; Pseudomonadota; Gammaproteobacteria; Enterobacterales; Enterobacteriaceae. The record is from RNAcentral. RNAcentral also lists the same sequence under 3 other names.
UUUUGUAUAAUGGGUCAGCGACUUAUAUUCUGUAGCAAGGUUAACCGUAUAGGGGAGCCGUAGGGAAACCGAGUCUUAACCGGGCGUUAAGUUGCAGGGUAUAGACCCGAAACCCGGUGAUCUAGCCAUGGGCAGGUUGAAGGUUGGGUAACACUAACUGGAGGACCGAACCGACUAAUGUUGAAAAAUUAGCGGAUGACCUGUGGCUGGGGGUGAAAGGCCAAUCAAACCGGGAGAUAGCUGGUUCUCCCCGAAAGCUAUUUAGGUAGCGCCUCGUGAAUUCAUCUCCGGGGGUAGAGCACUGUUUCGGCUAGGGGGCCAUCCCGGCUUACCAACCCGAUGCAAACUGCGAAUACCGGAGAAUGUUAUCACGGGAGACACACGGCGGGUGCUAACGUCCGUCGUGAAGAGGGAAACAACCCAGACCGCCAGCUAAGGUCCCAAAGUCAUGGUUAAGUGGGAAACGAUGUGGGAAGGCCCAGACAGCCAGGAUGUUGGCUUAGAAGCAGCCAUCAUUUAAAGAAAGCGUAAUAGCUCACUGGUCGAGUCGGCCUGCGCGGAAGAUGUAACGGGGCUAAACCAU